UUACCCACAGCGAGCGAUGCAGUGAUAGCAAGAUUAGAGACACUGAACAAAGUCGCUCUCCUUCUCGUCAGCAUGCCUUCUUCGGACUAAAAAAUCUGUGUGUUGGUGGGUCGGUCGGUGGCUGUUCCUGUUUGAGGUUUGGUUUUUGAAGGACGCAAAUCAUCUCAGCGGUGGUGAAGGACUCGAGCCGAAGAUGUCUUUCGAAUCUCCGAGCACGGAUUUCUUCCGUGGGUUGGACAUGAAUGCGUUGGGCAUUGAUCAGGCCUACGUGAACAUCACUCAUCAGUUGGAGGAAAAAUCCGUUUACUUGUACAAGCUGAGUGCCGAUUGCGAGAAAUGCCCAUUUGUGUACCAUGACGAGACAGGAGAGCCAAUUGGAAGCGAGGGGUACAAUUUCACGAUUGUGACCCAUUACCCUUGGCAAUUACGACUAAGAUCCAGCAAUGAGAACCACUCUGUUUCACAAUUCAUCCAAGACCCACAUGAGCUAUGUACGGUAGGCGUGAAUGGAGGCGAAUAUGGCGUAUAUGAUAUCAUCCUGGACGAGACUCAGUCCUGUACAGUGGUUGAAGCUCUGGAAGCUACAAAUUCCAACUUGGCAUUACUGUACUGCUUCUUGAUUCUUUUGGGCCUCGGUAUUCUGUUUCAAAUGUUGGUUUUUGUGAAUAAGAAAGGAUACUUGGAUGGACUCAAAUCUAUUCUCAGAGGUUUCAAGAAGAGCUUGGGAUUCGAGGUCAAAGAGAAGCCUGAAAAGGAGGACAAUAACAAUGAGACUAGUCGGCCUCCGAUGAAAAACCGCCUCAAAUCAUUGGACACUUUCCGAGGUAUGAGUAUCGCCUUGAUGAUCUUUGUCAACGAUGGCGCCGGUGGUUACUACUUUAUGGAACACUCGACGUGGAACGGCCUUUUCGUGGCGGAUUUGGCCUUCCCCUGGUUCAUGUGGAUUAUGGGUUUUUGUAUUCCAAUGUCUGUGCGAUCUUUCACCAAGAAGAACACGGCCCUGCCCGUUAUUCUCAUUCGGAUCGUCAAACGAUCCAUCAAACUCUUUCUGCUGGGUCUUUUCUUCGCGAAUAAUGGGAACAUUCAGUUGGAAAGGCUGAGGAUUCCAGGAGUUUUGCAACGAUUUGCGAUCUCAUAUUUGGUCGUGGCUGGAACAUCCGCCAUCAUCGGCAAAUACAUGAAACCAAUGGAUACCGAAACGAUUCGGGGAUGGCGGUCGUAUGUUGUCGACAUUUUCACCCAUUGGCCUCGAUGGAUCGUGGCAUUUGCCGCCAUUUUCAUUCACGCAUGCAUCAUCUUCCUUCUGCCGGUUCCCAAUUGUGAGACAGGCUAUUUGGGACCAGGCGGCCUUCACGACGACUCCGAGCAUUUACCCGAGUGUAUUGGCGGUGCCACCGGCUACAUUGACAAACUCAUUCUCACCAACGCUCACAUCUACAACUAUCCCACAGCUAAAGCCGUGUAUCAAUCGAGUGCCUUCGACCCCGAGGGAAUCUUGGGUUGUUUGCCAUCGAUUUUCCAUGUGUUUUUGGGCUACCAGGCCGGUCAAAUAAUUCUAUCCUACUCGGGACAUCGACAACGGGUGACACGGUAUCUCAUUUGGUUCCUCGGAACCGGCAUCCUGGCCUUGGGACUGUGUGGAGCCUCACUCAAUGACGGACCAAUUCCUAUAAACAAAAACUUAUGGUCUCUGUCAUAUGUGUUCGCCACCACAUCCCUGGCAAACAUUUUGAUGGCUUUGGUCUACGUUAUCGUGGACGUCAAGGAAUGGUGGGGUGGGGAGCCAUUCUUCUAUGCGGGCAUGAACUCAAUUGUUCUUUAUCUUGGUCAUGGACAGGCCCAUGCCUUGCUUCCUUUCAACUACAAGUUUGGCGAUAUGAACACACAUUGGGGUCUUUUACCGGAGUCGCUUUGGGGAGUCUCACUUUGGAUGUUGGUCGCAUAUAUCAUGCAUCAAAGCAAUGCGUUCAUCAUUGUUUAACAAAGGAAUGAAAAUAUACAGUAUCAUUCAUAUCUUGUCGCAUUACUUGUUCACGCCUCAGGGGCGUUUGAAUUGAGUUCAACCAUGAUCAGACGUUGCUAACCCUCCGGGGCUGAAACCUGAAAGCCAAUGAAGUGUAUAAGGAUCCCAUUCAAAAUGGGAAUGAAUGCUAUUGUCCUCUACCUGGGCCAUCAAAUCGGUUGGCGGUUGCUCCCGUUUCACUUCGCCGUGGGAACGAUGAACACCCACUGGAUCCAUUUGGUGGAAUCCCUCUGGACCACUUCACUUUGGAUGUUCGUGGCUUUCGUAAUGUUCAAGAAAAAUGCAUUUGUCGUAGUGUAAGCGGUCGCGCGAAAACCGAAUGGAAUAAUAAAUCUGAUUGUUUUCAAAGGUU
RNA transcript from Tigriopus californicus, 2375 nucleotides. It is a transcript of the gene named heparan-alpha-glucosaminide N-acetyltransferase-like, with no coding region annotated. Lineage: Eukaryota; Metazoa; Arthropoda; Copepoda; Harpacticoida; Harpacticidae. The record is from RefSeq and is a predicted model, not a curated record. The transcript has 12 exons.